UCCCCACAAUGUCCCCAUGUCCCCAUAAUGUCCCCAUUUCCCAAUGUCCCCCUUUCCCAGUGUCCUCGUGACCCCAUCAUGUCCCCGUGUCCCCAUAACAUCCCCGUGUCCCCAUAAUGUCCCUAUAAUGUCCCCAUAAUGUCCCCAUGUCCCCAUAAUGUCCCCAUUUCCCGGUGUCCCCAUGACCCCAUCACGUCCCCGUGUCCCCAUAACGUCCCUGUAAUGUCCCCGUGUCCCCAUAAUGUCCCCAUUUCCCAAUGUCCCCAUAAAUUCCCCAUGUCCCCAUAAUGUCCCCCUUUCCCAAUGUCCCCGUGACCCCAUCAUGUCCCCAUGUCCCCAUAAAGUCCCCAUAAUGUCCCUGUGUCCCCACAACGUCCCCAAGUCCCCAUAAUGUCCCCAUUUCCCAAUGUCCCCGUGACCCCAUCAUGUCCCCAUAAUGUCCCCAUAAUGUCCCCAUGUCCCCACGACGUCCCCAUUUCCCACCGUCCCCGUGUCCCCAUAACGUCCCUGUGUCCCCACGACGUCCCCGUUUCCCACUGUUCCCGUGUCCCCAUAACGUCCCCAUUUCCCAAUGUCCCCAUAAUGUCCCCAUUUCCCAAUGUCCCCAUGUCCCCAUAACGUCCCCAUUUCCCCAUGUCCCCAUAAUGUCCCCAUUUCCCAGUGUCCCCACAUCGUCCCCAUGUCCCCGUGUCCCCAUAAGGUCCCCCCCGACCCCACAGCUCACGCCAGCAUCUCGGUCAGCAGCCCCACAACCUCCACCCCCACCUCGCGGUCCUCGUCCAGCACCAUGGCCAGCAGGCGCUCCUGCAGCCGGCGACAGCG
RNAcentral lists this long non-coding RNA (822 nucleotides) under Numida meleagris (helmeted guineafowl). Its description in RNAcentral is "lncRNA (ENSNMEG00000000828.1)". The record is from RNAcentral. Lineage: Eukaryota; Metazoa; Chordata; Aves; Galliformes; Numididae.